Molecule: long non-coding RNA, 652 nt
Organism: Mytilus californianus (California mussel)
Lineage: Eukaryota; Metazoa; Mollusca; Bivalvia; Mytilida; Mytilidae
Exons: 2
Source: RefSeq, a predicted model, not a curated record
UCUCGCUUUUUAGCUCACCUGACCUGAAAGGUCAAGUGAGCUUUUCUCAUCACUUUGCGUCCGUCGUCCGUCGUCCUGCGUCCGUCGUCCGUCGUCCGUCGUCCGUCGUCCGUAAACUUUUACAAAAAUCUUCUCCUCUGAAACUACUGGGUCAAAUUUAACCAAACUUGGUCACAAUCAUCAUUGGGGUAUCUAGUUUAAAAAAUGUGUCCGGUGAUCCGGUCAACCAACCAAGAUGGCCGCCAUGGCUAAAAAUAGAACAUAGGGGUAAAAUGUAGAUUUUGGCUUAUAUCUCUGAAACCAAAGCAUUUAGAGCAAAUCUGACAUGGGGUAAAAUUGUUUAUCAGGUCAAGAUCUAUCUGCCCUGAAAUUUUCAGACCAAUCAGGCAAAUCGUUGUUUGGUUGCUGCCCCUGAAUUGGUAAUUUUAAUGAAAUUUUGUCGUUUUUGGUUAUUAUCUUGAAUAUUAUUAUAUAUAGCGAUAAACUGUAAACAGCAAUAAUGUUCAGCAAAAUAAGAUCUACAAUUAAGUCAACUUCACCAAAAUGGUCAGUUGACCCCUUAAGGAGUUAUUGCCCUUUAUAGUCAAUUUUUAACCAUUUUUCGUAAAUUUUUGUAAUCUUUUACAAAAAUCUUCUCCUCUGAAACUACUAA